AUUUAGUCAAUGCCACUCCGACAUUGCUCGUCAUAAUAUUUAUACAUUAAUUCCAUUAUUUUACUUUUAGAUUUGUGUAUUGUUGUGAAUUGUUAGAUAGUACUAAACUGUUGGCGCUAGGAACACAAGCAUUUCGCUACACCCGUAAUAACAUCUGCAAAAUAUGUGUAUGUGACCAAUACAAUUUGAUUUGAACAGACCUUGAGGUCGUCAUACACGUAACCAUGUUAAAAUACUCCAAACCAGAAGGUGGCAGUAGCAGUAGCGUUGCACGGCAAUGCAUGUCUGUGUGUAUUUAUUUCAUGGUCUAGAUUCCAAUGUUCGCUAGCUCCGCUGUUGUUAUUUUGUAGAAAGCCGUCGUUGAUACUAUCCAGAUGGCAACAGCUAGAUAACUACAUAGCAAGAUGACGAAGAAGAAAUUUAAUUCGCUCUCCAUAAUCCCAUACUACCACUACCAGCCCAUCGCUAGCUAGCUAACAUUAGCAUAUUCGCUAGCUAGCACAACAUAGCUAGUUAGCUAAGGACAAUGCUCCUGAGUGGCGCAGGCACUGCGUCUCAGUGCUAGAAGCGUCACUACAGACACCCUUGUUCGAAUCCAGGCUGUAUCACAACCAGCCGUGAUUGGGAGUCCCAUAAGGGCGGCGCCCGGGUUUGGCCGGUGUAGGCCGUCAUUGUAAAUAAGAAUUUGUUCUUAACUGACUUGCCUAGUUAAAUAAAGGUACAAUUAAAAAAAUGCACCAACUCGGCAGCUGUUUCAUGGAAAGUAAUCCAUUGUGAUUUAAUUAUGUCAAUACUAGCUACAGUGGGUAGCUUCCUUGGAAGUAUUUAGUGUGCAUUGCGUCUGUGCACUUAGCUAGUUAGUUUAUUAGCUAGUUACUAUUGCAUAUGAAGUGUGACUGGCUCAUGACAUUUAACCGUCUAUGUAUGGAUAAAAUGUCAUAUUUUUUCAAUUUUGUUGUCACUCCUGUUGGCUUCCCCACCUGGGGGUUCAUGCUCUCUGGUUGGCUCAAAGUCAAGUCAUUGUCCACUGACGAGCAUUGAGAUUCUGACAAGUAGAAAAGAGGAUCGUCGCUAUGGGGUCUACACGUAGCAGGUCAGUCUGUGCUGUCAGAGGCAGGCCAAGAUAAAUGGGGACAGUGUGACCAGAGCUGCAGAUGUCAUCAGACACCAAGACACAACUCCACACCAGGGCAAUGACACGAGAAACAACAUGCUUUCACCUUUUUCAAUAAACUUAACUGGACUUUU
This is a long non-coding RNA of Salvelinus fontinalis (brook trout), 1248 nucleotides long. RefSeq lists it as uncharacterized. The record is from RefSeq and is a predicted model, not a curated record. The transcript is spliced from 2 exons. NCBI's taxonomy places the organism in Eukaryota, Metazoa, Chordata, Actinopteri, Salmoniformes, Salmonidae.